Molecule: ribosomal RNA, 474 nt
Filed under: uncultured soil bacterium
Lineage: Bacteria
Description: bacterial SSU rRNA
Rfam family: Bacterial small subunit ribosomal RNA
Source: RNAcentral
AGGACGAACGCUGGCGGCGUGCUUAACACAUGCAAGUCGAGCGGUAAGGCCUUUCGGGGUACACGAGCGGCGAACGGGUGAGUAACACGUGGGUGAUCUGCCCUGCACUUCGGGAUAAGCCUGGGAAACUGGGUCUAAUACCGGAUAUGACCUCCUAUCGCAUGGUGGGUGGUGGAAAGAUUUAUCGGUGCAGGAUGGGCCCGCGGCCUAUCAGCUUGUUGGUGGGGUAAUGGCCUACCAAGGCGACGACGGGUAGCCGACCUGAGAGGGUGACCGGCCACACUGGGACUGAGACACGGCCCAGACUCCUACGGGAGGCAGCAGUGGGGAAUAUUGCACAAUGGGCGAAAGCCUGAUGCAGCGACGCCGCGUGAGGAUGACGGCCUUCGGGUUGUAAACCUCUUUCAGCAGGACGAAGCGCAAGUGACGUACCUGCAGAAGAAGCACCGGACUAACUACGUGCCAGCAGCCGAC